CCUACGGGCGGCUGCAGUGAGGAAUAUUGGUCAAUGGGAGAGAUCCUGAACCAGCCAAGCCGCGUGAGGGAAGACGGCCCUAUGGGUUGUAAACCUCUUUUGUCGGAGAACAAAACCCGGGACGUGUCCCGGACUGCGUGUAUCCGAAGAAAAAGCAUCGGCUAACUCCGUGCCAGCAGCCGCGGUAAUACGGAGGAUGCGAGCGUUCUCCGGUGUGAGUGGGUUUAAAGGGUGCGUAGGCGGUCCGUUAAGUCAGCGGUAAAAUUGCGGGGCUCAACCCUGUCGAGCCGUUGAAACUGGCAGACUUGAGUUGGCGAGAAGUACGCGGAAUGCGCGGUGUAGCGGUGAAAUGCAUAGAUAUCGCGCAGAACUCCGAUUGCGAAGGCAGCGUACCGGCGCCAGACUGACGCUGAGGCACGAAAGCGUGGGGAUCGAACAGGAUUAGAUACCCUUGUAGUA
Molecule: ribosomal RNA, 459 nt
Filed under: uncultured bacterium
Lineage: Bacteria
Description: partial 16S ribosomal RNA
Rfam family: Bacterial small subunit ribosomal RNA
Source: RNAcentral